GUCUCUUGGCAGCCAAUGCGACCCCUUGGGCAUGAUUUCCUGCUGAUGAGCAAAUAACCCCUCUUUCUAACUGUCCCUUCGGAAGCUUUGCCAUCAUAUUAUAAGCUCCACGAAGCUUAAAAGAGAAAACCUGAAAAUAUGAAACAUCAAAUCUGUAAGCACUUUAUCUGAAUAUGAAAAACAAUAUUGAACUACAAAAAGAAAAGAUUUCCGCUUUGGCAAUUCAUUAACAGAUUAUAAAAACAAAGACUAAAUUCAACUAAAAAAACAUGUGAAUAUUUACUCAUAACAUCAAUGCAUCUCAGAGCACAUAAAUAAAAAACAAAUAGGGUUUAAUCCAAGCUAAAAAAAAACCAGUCCGUUAAGCUUAAAAUAAGUAAAGCAAAAUCAUAGAAUAUAAACAGUAUUAACUCCCAACACCUCACCAAUCAUAGAAACAAAUAUCAUUAGAAAUGAAAACCCAAAAACCUAAAAGAAAAAAAAAAUAACAAGAAGAUAUUUCGCCAAAUACAAAUUAAAAACCAAAAACUAGAACCUCAAUGGUUGCAAUUUUUAAAUGGAAAAAAGAACCCAAAUCAUGAAAUAAUCCCCCGAAAAAAAAAUCAAUCUUUCAAAAAAAUGAAAACUUUUCUUACAGGCUGUAAAUCUUCUCUCUUAAGCCAAACUUGAUUACCCAAUCGUUCAGACAACUUAGUCGCCAACUGUAACGGUGACUCUAUCGCCACAUCAUAAACCUUCGACGACAAAAUAUUCGUUAAAUACUCCAUCGCAUUUACUACGUCGCCGUUUCCUUCAUCCAUUGAACGUUCCGGUACCGCGCCUAAGUAACCUGACGGAUACCGCAGGGAAUUAGCAGACACCUUCUUCGGCGGCGCAGAAGGAACCACAGCAGAAGUUGACGACGACGAAACGAAGCGUUAUCGAGAGAAGUAACGGUCGGAGAAGAGAUAUCAGCCAUCGGUUUCGACACAGCGGCUCUGAUCCACGGGCGGAUACAUUUCUUUGUAAUGUGGCGCGCAGUAAAUGAUGUAGUUGGGACCCUCUCUUUGUGGCGGAGUAGCGGCGGAUGAGGUGGCGUGAGGCGAAGAGCCUCCAUUGGUUUUAAAUUUUUGAAAAUUUAAAGAAAAAAAAUAGAAAAACCAAAGAGAAAACGUGGUGGUGAAAAGAAAAUACGCUUUCUAACUCUAAGACGUCGGGCGGCUUUUGGAGGGGACCUUAUAGUUUAUAAAGACAAAGGAGGGAGGGUAAAUGGUUUUUCAUUUGGCGCAAUUUUUGGAGUGAACAAAUGGAGGCUAUGAAAGAUUGACACCUGGUGAAAAUGACGUAAGCAUGUCACUGUACCUGACGGGUUUCGUGCACUGCGGGUGACGGAUGGUAAGUGUUCUAUUUUAAAAUGCACAAGGAAGGAGUGUGCUCCGUUGACUCGAAACUCAACACCGUGAGACAACAGACCAGACACGCUGUGUGGAAAGAAAGAUGGAGCGAGUUUCAUUCAAUUUCAAGUAAGUUUUCGGUUGGAAUUUCCUUUUUAUUUUUUAUUUUAAGAGAAGAAAAUUCACACCCUUCCAAUAGGUAUUGUUGAGUCUCAAAUGUGAAAUUUUCAUAUUUGUUAGGAUGCAUUUCAAUGUAAAAAAGAAAAAAGAAAAAAAAGCUAACAAAUAUAUUUUUAAUUUCAUGAUAUAAAAAAUGAAACUCUUUAUCUGUAAUUAUAUAAUCAUAAUUUAAAUUUAUUUAAAAUUUAUUGCUUAUAAAUAUAGCAGUGAGGAUUUUACGUAAUAUUUUAUGAUUAAUUAAUUUUAUGACAUUAAUUUCGUAUAAUAUUCUAAAAAAAGAAAAAAACAUUGUUUCAAGGUGACAAUCAAUGUCAUGAAAUACAAUGUUAAAGAUGAAUUUUUGUUAUUUGUCUUGGGUUAUUUAUGUUGGCUUAUUAGAAUUAUUGAUUGUUAUGUCAUGCGAAAAUGACUACAAAGUUAGGCCAAAUUAACAAAGAUUAUCGUCAAAGCUUAAUUAUAUAAAAUUAAGGCCAAACAAAGAUUAGCUCAAUCUAUGCCUAAGAUUAAAAAUCUUUCAUCAGUGGCUGAGAAAAUAUGAAACAUUACUCGAACACUACUAAAUCAUCAUCUUAAUCAAGAGAGGACAUUCUAAAAUCUUUACUAUAAAAUUAGGCCAACGAGUAUUGUCAAAUCUUAAUUAUAUAAAAUUAAGACCAAACAAAGAUUAGCUCAAUCUAUGCCUAAACUUAAAAAUCUAUAAAAUUUCAUUAGUGGCUAAGAAAUUACGAACGUUCCUCGAACACUAAUAAAUCGUCAUCUUAAUUUGAAAAAUGACAUACUAAAAUCUUUACUACAAAGUUAGGCCAAAUUAAGAAAGAUUAUCGUCAAAGCUUAAUUAUAUAAAAUUAAGGCUAAACAAUGAUUAGCUCAAUCCCUACCUAAGCCUAAAAUAUCUAGAAAUUUUCUUUAGUGGCUAAAACUUUAUAAAUGUUACUCGAAUACUACUAAAUCAUCGUCCUAAGCUAAAAAGGGACACUCUAAAAUUCUUAAAUUUAGGUGAAUUUCGUUUAAUGUUUUGUUAAUUUAUUACUUUUUUAUAAUACAAUAAUACUUAUAUCAUAUCCGUUGAAUAAUGCUCAUUAAAUUGUAUAAUUUGUAUUCCUAUAACUAAUGUUGUAAAAAAGUAAACAUUGUUUGUCAUUAAUUAAUACUAAUUAUGCUGUGGACUAAUGCUUGACUUCAUCUCCUUAGAUACGGUGUUGUGAAUUUAAGUCAUUUUAAAUUAGGGAAUGGUCACGUGGGUUUAAGUCAUUUUAAAUUAGGGAAAUAAAAGGAAGGUGGAUAAGUACGUGCAUGUGAGUUAAAGUCAUCAGUUUUGUACAAAAAAUAUUGUAAAAAUUCUUACUUGACACAAAAGAGGUGGCCAUAUGCUAAAAAAGUAAUUAAGGAUAUAAAUAGGAGUAUAAUCGAUUAAAUUGGAAUUGAUAUAGUAUUAAAUUUAAGUUUAAAUUUGACUUUAAAUUUGAGAUUUAAAAUUCGGUUCAAAUUUAAUUAAAUUUUAUUUUUUUAAUUAAAGUUCAAUUCGAAAUAAAAAUUAAGUCAUUCCAGCUCGCUUGAUUAACAUGUAAAAAUAAAUUUUAUUUUUAUAUUUGAUAAAAGUUCGAUUAUUUAUGUUCAAACUAAAACUCGAAUUCGAGAUAUUUUAUUAAUUAAAAUAAUUAUAAUAUAUUAUAAUAUAAAAACUCAAUUAAACUUUUAAGUAAUUCGAAUCGAAUAUAAAAAUGUUUGAAUUCGAUUUAAUCGAUAAAUUAAAUUAUUCGAAUUUAAGUUUGAUUCAAUAAUAAUCGAAUUAAAUUUAAAUUUUAUUUUAAUUGAAUCUAAGUAACUUACAAGUACUAAUAUAUUAUUUAUACUCUUAAAUAUAAAUACAGGUCUUAUUAAAAAGUUUUAAGUUAGAAAAUUGACGGUGGAUUCUCCUAGUCAUAACCAAAAUAAUGAUGUUUCAUGUUGGAAUUUGAAAUUCCCUUUUCAUAUAUACAUCAUUUAAUAAAUGCUUUGGCCACUUACUCAUAUGCUUUUUCCUAUCUAAAUAAAAAUAAUAUUUUAUUAAAAUUUAAAAUUACAUUAUUAUAUAAAAAGUUAUCUCCUUUGCAGAUAAUAAAGUUUUUAAAUUCUAAAAAUAUGAAGAUCACACACACAUAUAUAUAUAUAUAUUAAAAAUAUAUAUAUGAUAAUUUUUAAUCUUAUUUAUAAAAUAAAAAAAUUAUACUGUUAGCGUACUCUUAUUUUAUUAUUGAGUACAUAUAUAACAAAUUAAUCAACCAUACACCAAAAGUUGGUAGACCUAAUUAUCAACCAACGAAUGUUUUCACAUAAUUACAUAAUUAAAGUUUCAGUAUAACCCUUAGCUUUUUUUUUUUAAUUUUCUAGGAUAAUAUUUUUAUAGCACCUGGCAGAAUAUAAUGUCAUUGUCUUUGAAUAAUUUUUAAAAAUAAAAAAUUGAAUGAACCCAAUACCUAAAUAUAUAACUAUAUGUGUACGUAUCGGACUGACAAUCAUGUGUAAAAUAAAUAAAUAAAUAAAUAAAAUAAAUAGAAGACGAGAUUCAAUUAAAGAGGACAAGAAAACCUAAAUAAAAGAAAGACUGGAUUGAUGCUGCCUUUCUUUCAACCCAACAUCUUGAUGUGGAAAAAAAUUUUAAAAAGUAAAAAAAUGUUAAAAACUUGGUUGUUACAUAAAUUUUUCAUAUAUAUAUUUUUGUGUUUCACAUGCUAUUUAAAAAUUAUUUAUUUUUUAAAAAAAUCAGUCCAAAGAAAAUUAGUUCAUCUCACUGGAGUUUGGACUUUUGGGGUCUCAAAAAGAGUUGUUGGCGUUAGAUAGUUUUGUUCAUUUAUUUAAUGUGCCAAGACUCUUGAUUAAAACAAAAAAAUAAAUAAUUUAUUGUCUAAUUCUAUUGAAAUGUUUUAUUAUAAAAAUUUAAAUGAAAGCAAGUUAUUUCAUUUCAAAUCAAAGCAUAUUAUAAAUUUUAAAGAAAAUUUACAUUAAUUUUAUUAAUCAUUCAUAAAAAAUCGUUUGCAAUAAAAAGUUAAAAAUCAAAUAUAAAUCUUAUGAACAAAACAUUCCGUUUUUAUCUAUUUAACCAACAUCCUUUAAACUAAUUUUAUUAAAUUGUUAUUAAAGAUUUUAUAUACGCUGCAUGCAUUAGGUAUAGGAAAAGGACCAGUAGAACAUUUAUAAAAAAGAAACUUGUUAAAGAUGCUUUUUUUUUUGUACAAAUUAUAUACUAGAUUAAAUUGUUUUUAGAGAAGUUAUUAAUUAUAUUAACAGUUGAAAUUUUUAAGUUUAUAAGUGAAUUUAAGAUAAUGAUAUAUAUUUUUUAAUGUAUAUUUAAAACAUUAAAAAAUUUUAAUUAAAAAAAAUAUGUAUUAUUAUUUUAAUUUCAUUUAUAAAAUUAAAAAAUUUUAUGUUAAUAUAUCAAAUAAAUAUAUCAAAUAAAUGGUUAGAGGGUUGUGAGAAUGUAAUUUUUUAUGAAUAUUUUAGAUUCAGUAUAAAUAAAUUUUAAGAUAAAUGAAUAACUUGGAUAAAUUAAUAAAAUUAAUUUAUAUAAAAUCUUGGGGUUGAAAUUUUGGUAUGGUGAUAAAUAAUGGGAAAAAAAAAAGAAAAAAAGAAACAAAUUUAGUUUCUUUUUUUUUUAAAUAAAAACUCGUUUAAGGAAAUGAUAAGUAUAAAAAAAUAAAUAAAUAAUGGGAUAAAAGGUUCCAGAUGGUCCAUUGGACCCUUAAAGCUCCAGCCCUAAGCUGGUGUGUUAUUUAGUUUCUUUUUUUUUUUUUAAUAAAAACUCGUUUAAGGGAAUGAUAAGUAUAAAAAAAUAAAUAAAUAAUGGGAUAAAAGGUUCCAGAUGAUCCAUUGGACCCUUAAAGCUCCAGCCCUUAGCUGGUGUGUUAGUGUGGUCCACAGACCCAAACACAACACAACUGAUGUUACCCAAACAUUAGUAAUGGUGAGAUUGGUCAAAAAACGUGGCCUAAAAUCACCGUACCGGGUCCAAUCAAAACCAAAUGAGGCCUAAAUGUUCUAGCUAUAUUUGAUAACUGCUUGUCUUUUGGGUUUUAAGGAAAAGAUUUUUGACCAAUGUGUUUAAAUAUAAUUUUACUUUAAUAAAAUCUUGUAUAUGAUUUUUUAAAUUCAAAAUUAAUUUGACAUGACUAAAAUUAUUAUUAUAUUAAUAAAUAAUAUAUUUAUUUAAUUUUAUUUAAAAAAUUAAAAUAUUAAUAUUAAAAGUUUUUUAAUAUUUUUAUAAUUCUAUUCAAAUAAGAUUUUGAACAUGAUAGCUUAAGUUUGAGUUUGAUUUGAUUCAACUUGAAAUAUCAUUAUAUUAAUAAAAAUAUUUUAUUUAAGUUUAAUUAAAAAGUUAAUAUAUUAACAUUAAAAGUCUUUUGAUAUUUUGAUUUUAAAUAUUUUUUGUAUAUUAUUAAAUAUAAAUAUUUUUAAUAUUUCAAUAAUAAACAAUAUUCUAUUAUUAUAUUAAUAAUAAACAAUAACAUAUUUAACAAUAUUUUUAUUAUUCUAAUAAUUAAUAUUAAAUAAUAUAAUAAUAUUAUUUUAGUAAUAUGAAUAUUUUUAGUAAUUUCUUAAUUUUUUAGUUUAAAAUAUAUUAUUUAUAUUUUAUUUAUUAAGGUAUUUUAUUACUAUUUUAACAAUAAAUAUAAAAAAGAAUUGUUUUUGUUAAGAUUUAAUAAUAAAUACUUUUAAAAUAAAAAAUAAAUAUUUUAAUACUAUAAAUAUUUUGAUAUUUUAAAAAUAAAUAUUACUAUUUUAAUAUUAUAAUAAUUAUAAAAAUAAUAUUUUAAGAAUAGUAAUAUUAUUUUAAAUAUUUUAAUUUGUUAAUAUAAAGAAUAAUAAAUAGUUUUGUUUUAUGUGUUUUUUAUAUUAGUAUAAUAUUUUAAUUUUAAAUAUUAAUAAAAUAUAAUUAUUUUUAAUAUUAAUAAUUUUAAUAGUAAAUAAUUUCAAAAUACUUUAAUAAUAAAUAAUUCUAAUAUUUAUGUCAAUAUUAUUAUUUUUUAAAUAAAAUUUUAAAAAAAUCAGAUAACAAAAAAUAUUUUCAUUGACUCAUGACUCAUCCAAAUAAUAGAUAAUAUCACUUUUUCCAAAAAUAUAAACAUUUUCUAUAAAAUAUUUUUUGAAAGUUAAUUUCCGUAAAACAAGCGAACCUUUUUGUUUAUUUUGGCAAUAAAAAAUAAAACAAACAAAAAGAAUGAAUAUACAAAACUAAAAACAAAAUAAUAAAAGUAAAAGCGUUUAUUAAAUGAGCUUAAAUGUUGAUAAACUUGUUUUUUAUCACCUAGUUUGUACCAUUUAUGAGUAGUCCAUUAACUAGGUUUGACAAUUUGUAUUCUUAUAUUGUGUUUAUGUCAUAUUGAGAAGUGUAAUUAUACGAAUUAUUGAAAUACAAAUAUAGCAUGAAUUAUAAAAUAUAUUUAAAUUUUGAAUACAACACGUUUAUUAUAUGUAUUACAUGCGAUACGAUAUAAUUAACAUAUAUAUAAUUAAUUUAUUUACACAUGAUAUGAACAAAUAUGAAUAAUACGGAUAUACACGAAUAGAUACGACUAAUAUAUAUAUAUAUACGAAUAAACACGACUAAUAUUAAUAUAUAUAAAAAUAUGACUAAAAUAAUAAAUAAUUAUAAAUUAUCAAUCAAUUACAACUUAAUAAAUUUGAUAUACGACUUGCAUAUUAAAAAUAAUAAAAAAAUUAAAUACCCAUUUAAUAUGUACUUAAUAUAUAUAUUUAAAUUUUAAUAUAUAUUACAUAACUAUAAUAAUUUUUAGUAUUAAAUUCAAAAUGAUAAAUUAUUGAAGAUUAAAAAAUAAAAUAAUGAUGUAUAAGACUAGUAUUAAUAUUUAUAUUUUAUUUAUAUUAUUAAUAUAAAAAUAAUUUUAUAAUAAUUAUUAAAUGAGUAUCAUAAUUCAAUGUUUAAAAUAAUCUUUAUAUGCUAUUGAAAAACUAAUUAAGUAUCGUAAUUAAAAAAUUAAAAAUUAAAAUAACUUUUAUAUGUUUAUAUUAAAUUAAAGUACAUAUAAAAAUAUUUUAAAUGCAGACUCAUAGGACAAAAAUAAAUUAAAUAUAUUUUUUGUGUCAGAAUACAUGUUAACAUGUAUCCGUAUGAUACAUUUUAUCUAAACGUGUCUUACAUAUAUUUAGAUUUAUUAAUAAAUAUUUAAACGUACCAAUACAUAUACUGUAUAAAUUAUAUCAUAUGAAAAUUUAUAUCAAUACAAAUAAAUAUAAAACAUAUUUUUUUAAAAUAUGUAUAUAUUAUUUUUUAUAUUAAUUUUAUAUCAUAUCAUCAUAUUAUAUAUGAAAUUAUCAGAUCUAUCAAUAUCCGAAAUGUCUUGCAAAAUUUAUGAUUUCAUAUUUUUGGAACAGUAUACAGCAAGCAUAGUAUCAGAGUAACCUCCAUAUGUAGUAGUUCCAACAAAAGUGCUUUGCCACUAAUUUUCAAGAUUCUUAGUGCAGUCACCGCAGGAGUGACAUGACUCAACCAUGCAACUUUAUCUUCAAUUUUGAUUUUUUUAACUUAUAGAAUAAAACCAGCAAAAUUAUAAUAUUCAAAAUUUAAAUUUAUUAAAUAUUAUUUUCUUAUAAAUAAUUAUAUAACUAAAAUUAAAUAUCACCUCUGUCACUGAACCAACAAUCUCAUGAGAUUGUUGAGAGUUGUUUAUAAUCUAUUAACCUACGCUUAAUUUAAUAAAUAGUGCGUGGACACUUGGACAAGCAACGUUGAUUUUAUACUGCAGGCUCCCAGGCUCCUCUGGCAAAACAGUUGCAAGCACUGCCUCCUGUUGUCUACCCACAUUAGCCAGUUCGGUAACCACUCUAAGCUUAUCAAAAUUCAUGUUUGCACCGCUAGUUAUUGCUACAACAUUCUUUCCCUUAAGGCUGUAAUAUUUGCAAUAUGCUUCAGCUCCCGCAAGGGCUAGGGCACCUGCUGGUUCCAGAAUGCUCCUCUUCUCUUCAAACAUGUCCUGCAACACAAGCAGUACAGCUGUAAAUCCUAAGCAUUCAAACAACCAUGUGUUAAUUAGAUGAAGGCCAUCAGUUAUCCAACAAAAACCAAUAGCACUAGUCAUACUGGAGAGACAACAUUAGACACGAGGAGAGAGAAAAAAUCAUAAGAAGGGCUUCUAACAUCCAUAAGGUUAAGAAUAAAUAAUUAGAGAACAAAUGGUGAUGGGGACAGGCCACACUCUUUCCCGAAAUGGGAAAUAGAACACCAUAAAACUGCAUAAAAAUUCAAGUUAAACACCCAAUUUGUGAGCAAAACUAACCAGAAGUGAACUACCUUCAUAUGAAGAACCAAAGGCACAUUCCAAUUCCUAAAAUACUACAUCUAGAAUCCAAGUUAAAUCAAAGGUACAAUAUAUUUGAACUAGAAAUUUGACACUUUGUUUCAAAUUACAAUUUUAGGUAUUUCAAGCCAGCAUUUCAGUUGUUUGCUCAAUUCACAACUGUAUCAUACAAGGACAGAAACGAAUAACUAAAAUAAAGAUUGACAACCUUAAGCUGUAUGUUAAGAGGCACAAAUGGCUCAAUGCAAAGAAGCCAUACCUUUAUAGAGGCACAAAUAGCAUCAUGGUUUACAAGAACGACACCAUCCACCAAUUUCCUACAUAAGCGAAAGGUUUCUUCACCGACUUCCUUAACAGCUACUCCAUCUGCAAAGCCCCCAACCUGGUCCAACAUCACUCUUUCGCCAUGAUGAAGCGACAAUGCCAUUGCAUUUGCAUCAAAAGGCUCCACUCCAAUAAUCUUCACCUGUAUAGUAAUACAACACUAAGUGAUGUGGAUGAAUUACGUCAUGCAGCAAGGAACAAGCACAUUCAAUGUAAUUUCAAACAAGAUAUAGUAUAUGUUUAUAUGAAGGACCCACAUACCCUCGGGGAAACCCUCUUAACAUAAGCAGCAAUGCCAGCUACAAGCCCACCACCACCAAUAGGUACAAAGAUUGCAUGCAAUGGGCCUUGCAUUUGGCGCACAAUCUCCAUCCCAACAGUGCCUUGUCCCAUGAUAACAUCUGGAUGGUCAAAAGGGGGAAUAAAUGUUCGACCUUCCUCUUUAGCCCGUUUUUUAGCAUAUGCUUGUGCCUCAUUAUAAGAAUCUCCAACGAGAACAACAGUUGCGCCCAACCUCUCAACAGAAUGCCACUGCAAAACAAGAAACCAAACAUUCAAAUUAAGAAACCUUAUGUGCUAUGCAAUUGAUACAAAAAACAUCACAAAAUAGCACCUUAAUUUCUGGUGUGGUAACGGGCAUAGCAAUAACAGCAUUGCAACCGAGUCUCUUGGCAGCCAAUGCGACCCCUUGGGCAUGAUUUCCUGCUGAUGAGCAAAUAACCCCUCUUUCUAACUGUCCCUUCGGAAGCUUUGCCAUCAUAUUAUAAGCUCCACGAAGCUUAAAAGAGAAAACCUGAAAAUAUGAAACAUCAAAUCUGUAAGCACUUUAUCUGAAUAUGAAAAACAAUAUUGAACUACAAAAAGAAAAGAUUUCCGCUUUGGCAAUUCAUUAACAGAUUAUAAAAACAAAGACUAAAUUCAACUAAAAAAACAUGUGAAUAUUUACUCAUAACAUCAAUGCAUCUCAGAGCACAAAAAUAAAAAACAAAUAGGGUUUAAUCCAAGCUAAAAAAAAACCAGUCCGUUAAGCUUAAAAUAAGUAAAGCAAAAUCAUAGAAUAUAAACAGUAUUAACUCCCAACACCUCACCAAUCAUAGAAACAAAUAUCAUUAGAAAUGAAAACCCAAAAACCUAAAAGAAAAAAAAAAAUAACAAGAAGAUAUUUCGCAAAAUACAAAUUAAAAACCAAAACUAGAACCUCAAUGGUUGCAAAUUUUAAAUGGAAAAAAGAACCAAAUCAUGAAAUAAUCCCCCGAAAAAAAAAUCAAUGCUUUCAAAAAAAUGAAAACUUUUCUUACAGGCUGUAAAUCUUCUCUCUUAAGCCAAACUUGAUUACCCCAAUCGUUCAGACAACUUAGUCGCCAACUGUAACGGUGACUCUAUCGCCACAUCAUAAACCUUCGACGACAAAAUAUUCGUUAAAUACUCCAUCGCAUUUACUAACCUCGCCGUUCCCUUCAUCCAUUGAACGUUCCGGGUACCAGGCGCCUAAGUAACCUGACGGAUACCGCAGGGAAUUAGCAGACACCUUCUUCGGCGGCGCAGAAGGAACCACAGCAGAAGUUGACGACGACGAAACGAAAGCGUUAUCGAGAGAAGUAACGGUCGGAGAAGAGAUAUCAGCCAUCGGUUUCGACACAGCGGCUCUGAUCCACGGGCGGAUACAAUUCUUUGUAAUGUGGCGCGCAGUAAAUGAUGUAGUUGGGACCCUCUCUUUGUGGCGGAGUAGCGGCGGAUGAGGUGGCGUGAGGCGAAGAGCCUCCAUUGGUUUUAAAUUUUUGAAAAUUUAAAGAAAAAAAAUAGAAA
Molecule: long non-coding RNA, 10975 nt
Filed under: Durio zibethinus
Lineage: Eukaryota; Viridiplantae; Streptophyta; Magnoliopsida; Malvales; Malvaceae
Description: long non-coding RNA (DZIB_LNC000859)
Source: RNAcentral